UUCAUUCUGUAAUACUAAUUAUUAAGUAUUACAUAACAUGUGGUAUUUUGAAUCAAAUGAUGAACAUCAGACUGUGUAGCUAGAUCACAAAAAACUUCCUCUUCCGUUUCCAGAUGUAGAUCCAGAUCGCAUUUUUAAUCAAGUUUUUCUAAUACUUUCUCUCCCGUUUCCAAAUGUAGAUUCAGAUCAUAUUUUGAAUCAACUUUAUCUAAUUUUUGGCAUAUUCUCUUUAUUGUUUUGUUGCUAUAUGUAUGUUUGGCUCUAUUCACGUAGAUUGGAUAUGUUUCUAUACUUAAGAGAACCAGCUUAGUGAUUUGCUCUAUCUUUUUCUAAGUUUUGACAUAAUCUCUUUAUUGUUUUAUUGCUAUAUGUAUGUUUGGUUCUAUUCAGGUGGAUUGUAUGCAUUUCUAUACUUAAUAGACCCGGCUUAGUGGUUUACUCUAUCAUUUGCCUAUAGUUCUUAUCGUUUAUUUUAUUAAACUUUCUCAUUUCUGAAUUUUGCUUUCCUAUUGUAAAGCUAUACCAAAUGUAGAUCUAGAUCAGAUUUUUAAUCAACUUUAUCUAAUUUUUGGCAUAUUCUCUUUAAUGUUUUGUUGUUAUAUGUAUGUUUGGCUCUAUUCACGUAGAUUGGAUAUAUUUCUAUACUUAAGAGACCCAGAUUAGUGAUUUGCUCUAUCUUUUUCUAAGUUUUGCCAAAAUCUCUUUAUUGUUACUCGAUGCCGGUGAUGAUGAUGGUUUCUAUUAAUGCUUGAAGGAUGGCAUAGAUUGCAAAAUUUGUGCAACCCCGCAUUAAUUGGAAAUCAAAUGAACCAUACUAAUAACGGCAUCACAAUUUGAUCCUAUGGCUAUGUAAUUUGAGAAGAAAUUACUACAGCCUACUUUGAACUGCAAGAUUCUAUAUUGAAUAUCAGUAUUAUAACUGUUGCUUAUGUUUGUUGUCUCUGUUUCAUCGAUACAUGAUCAUUUUACUUUUAUUGUCCCUGUUUUAGCUCAAACUUUCUUGAUGCAUAUUUCGGUUAGGUUAAAAAAGGAAAAAGCAGGUUGAUGACAUGGUCCGAAACCAGACAAAAAAAAAAAUAAAAACUUAAUUUUAAGUAUUAUGAUUUGUUAGCAAAUUGACCUUGGGAAAUUUUUUUGCCCUUCAUUACCUUCAUUGUGAAUUAGUGGAGAGAUUCGAUGGUGCAUGUAUUACAAACUUAGAAACUUCUUAAAUUCUUGAUUUCCCUGUUGGUUCGCCUUUCAAAUUUGAAUGAAAUAGUCCAGCUUGCAUCAUGAGAGGAGAGUUUGGGUUUCGGAGAGAGUUCGACAUCAAAAAUCUGUAAUUCUGCUGUAAUUCUAAUAAAAAAAAUAACAAUUAUGAAUGACUGUGUCUAUAUGUUUGGCUCUAUUCAGGUGGAUUGUCCAAAUGGCGCGAGGACUCUGAAGCUCUCAAGGCACAAAUGCGCGAAAUAAACGAUAAGAUGUGACACUUUACCAAAUUAAUUAUACGUUUUAUAUUGAUAUAUAAGCUAUUGUUCUUGCUAGAUAUCUGGAACUGGGAAUGGAAUUCAGGAGGCCAUUGUAGUGGUUGUCCUCCUAUAUGGCUUCUUGAUUUUUUAUCAUAUGGCUCCCUCCUUGCUUGCUUCCUCUUUAAUUGUGCAUUCUCAUUCUCAUAUGAAGGCCUUAAUGGUUAUAAAUACUGCUUUUGUGGAUAAAAGAAACAUUCGGUGUACAAGAUAUAGAAAUGCUGAAUACAUAGGCCGAGGAAAAAAUUCAUGAUGUAGCGACAGAACUACAUGUGGUAGGCGGCACAUCUUUUUCAAGAAUUGGGAAUGUGACAUCUAAUACAAAUAUCGUAACGAAUGCAUGCCAUAGAAAAACUUUGCUGGUAGAGACAUGGCUAGCGAUGUGAGCUUCAAUGGUAUUGGAGCAAAAACAUAUGUGAAUACGAUGCCGGCGAUGAUGACGGUUUCUAUUAAUGUUUGGAGGAUGGCAUGAAUUGCAAAAUUUGUACAACCCCACAUUAAUUGGAAACCAAAUGAGCCAUACUACUAACGGCACUACAUUUUGAUCCUGCGGCGAACUAAUUUGAGGAAAAAUUUAGUGCUACCUACUUUGAACUGCAAGAAUUCAUGUUGAAUAUUGGUGUUGUCUCUGCUACUUAUCUUAGCUGUGUCUAUUUCGUGUAGUCACAUGCUUUUUUCCACCUGCAGCUAUUUCGUUACUAAUAAUGUGUAUGCUGAUCAAUAGUUGAGGCCUUUUUAAAUGAUUGCGCUUAAUUUACAGAGUUUAAAUUAAGUGACUAAAUGCCUAUUUGUUUGCUUUUAUAUCUGGAUGCAUAUGGCUUGGCUGUUUGUCCUACCAGCAUCAGAACAAUUCCAUGAGUGAAUGAUUGGAACAGUCCGAUUGCAAUGUUGGUUGGUCGACAAAUCUGAGCCUUAUAGAAUUCCUAGAAUUGAGUA
Long non-coding RNA from Ananas comosus (pineapple), 2441 nucleotides. RefSeq lists it as uncharacterized. Lineage: Eukaryota; Viridiplantae; Streptophyta; Magnoliopsida; Poales; Bromeliaceae. The record is from RefSeq and is a predicted model, not a curated record. The transcript is spliced from 2 exons.